RNAcentral lists this ribosomal RNA (764 nucleotides) under uncultured Campylobacterota bacterium. RNAcentral's name for it is "bacterial SSU rRNA". It matches the Rfam family "Bacterial small subunit ribosomal RNA", at positions 9 to 803 of the family's 1533-position model. Lineage: Bacteria; Pseudomonadati; Campylobacterota. The record is from RNAcentral.
GAGUUUGAUCAUGGCUCAGAGUGAACGCUGGCGGCGUGCUUAACACAUGCAAGUCGAACGGAACCUUCGGGUUUAGUGGCGCACGGGUGAGUAAUGUAUAGCUAACAUGCCCUUUAGAGGGGGAUAACAGUUGGAAACGACUGCUAAUACCCCAUACUCCUUCUCAUUAUAAGAUGAGUCGGGAAAGUUUUUUCGCUAAAGGAUUGGGCUAUAUGGUAUCAGCUUGUUGGUGAGGUAACGGCUCACCAAGGCUAUGACGCCUAACUGGUCUGAGAGGAUGAUCAGUCACACUGGAACUGAGACACGGUCCAGACUCCUACGGGAGGCAGCAGUGGGGAAUAUUACACAAUGGAGGAAACUCUGAUGUAGCAACGCCGCGUGGAGGAUGACACAUUUCGGUGCGUAAACUCCUUUUAUAUGGGAAGAUAAUGACGGUACCAUAUGAAUAAGCACCGGCUAACUCCGUGCCAGCAGCCGCGGUAAUACGGAGGGUGCAAGCGUUACUCGGAAUCACUGGGCGUAAAGCGCAUGUAGGCGGUCUUGUAAGUUGGGUGUGAAAGCCUAUGGCUCAACCAUAGAACUGCACCCAAAACUACUAGACUAGAGUCUGGGAGAGGAAAAUGGAAUUAGUUGUGUAGGGGUAAAAUCCGUAGAGAUAACUAGGAAUACCAAAAGCGAAGGCAAUUUUCUGGAACAGUACUGACGCUCAGAUGCGAAAGCGUGGGUAGCAAACAGGAUUUAGAUACCCUGGUAGUCCACGCCCU